GUCGCUGCAGCAGGAGUUGUAGUAGUAGCAGCAGCAGCAGCAGUAGUAGUAGUAGCAGCAGCAGCAGCAGGAGUAGUAGCAGCAGCAGUAGCAGCAGCAGUAGUAGUAGUAGUAGUUGAAGCAGUAGUAGUAGUUGAAGCAGUAGUAGUAGUAGUAGCAGUAGUAGCAGCAGUUUUAGUAGAAGUAAUAGUAGUAGUAGUAGAAGUAGUAGUAGUAGUAGUAGUAGUAUAAGUAGAAGUAGCAGUAGUAGUAGAAGUAGUAGUAGUAGUAGUAGUAGUAGUAGUAGUAGUAGUAGUAGUAGUAGUAGUAGUAGUAGUAGUAGUAGUAGUAGUAGUAGUUGUUGUUGUUGUUGUGGCUGUUGUAAUAGUAGUAGUAGUUUUGCAGAAGUAGUAGUAGUAGUAGUAGUACUAGUAGUAGAAGUAAUAGUAGUAACUUUCAAAGCAAUGUCUACAAGUUUAAAUUCCUUAACCCUGUUCAAGGUGUAUACACACUCAAUAUUUAACUACAGUCCAGGUUUGCAAUUAACAAACUAUCUGAUAAACCUGUGUGUGAGUCAGAUAUGUCUGCUGCUUAUCUAUUGGUUAUAAAAUAUCACAGCCUUUUCUGAUUGGCUGAGUUCAAAUACAGAAAGUUUACCUGUUAGAUUGAAAUUCUGGAGCAGGCCUAUUGUAAAAUAUGCAGGUUAAACUUGUUGUUAAAAUGAAGUUAAUGUAAUGUUCACAAACAGUAGAGUUAAUGAGUUUUUCCAUUAACAAGAAUUUCUUAAAAUAAUAAUGUAUGGAUAUCAUUUGGAAAGUGACAUGAAAUGUUGUUAAAAAGUGAUGCAUACAAGUGUUUCAGAAGUCUGUCUAGGAAUAGAACAACAACUGAAGCUGACCAGUUGAUGAAAGAUACUGCAGAGUUUGGCAGGGAAAUAACCCAAGACAGCAAAGCGGCUCUUUUGGCGCAUUUACUAAGAGGACUAACAUGGCCACAAAUUCAUGAGAUCAUGCAGGAGCCGUACAGUAUAACAGCAGUACAAGUUCUAUAAAAGAUCCACGACCUACUGAAGCCCAGCUAAUUAACAAAAGUUUUUAAAAACUGUAAUUUUAUCCCACCUGGGUACUUAUAAUUGACUAAGCUGCCUACACAAGUUUUAGACUUGCAAUUAUAUUUUAAACUGUCACUUGGAAAGUAUUUUAAUGAAAUUGAGCACCAAAAUUGCAUUAAAGUGAAAGUAGCUGAGAAAAAUAGUAUCCUUGUGCUCAUGGGCAGCUACAUAUAUUGUGACAAACAUGAAUUAGCUAAAAUAACUUAAAUUUUUCAUUUUGUUUCUUGUAUAUCCUUUGUACAGGGUUUGUGAAUUGUUACUGUAUAUUACUUGACUUGCUUGUAUUUUGUUACUUUGAAUACAUGUUGUGAAGGUUGCAUUAUACUUUUUAACUUUUAAAGUAGCGCCUGUUCUGUUAUGUAAGGGCCUGAUUUAUGAUAAUGGACAUAGAGGCUUUGUAAGCAUGUAUUAAACAACACUUGUUUGAUCUGAAUAAUUUGUUAAAUAAAUGUAACACAAUU
This is a long non-coding RNA of Dreissena polymorpha, 1551 nucleotides long. RefSeq lists it as uncharacterized. Lineage: Eukaryota; Metazoa; Mollusca; Bivalvia; Myida; Dreissenidae. The record is from RefSeq and is a predicted model, not a curated record. The transcript has 3 exons.